AUUGAACGCUGGCGGCAUGCCUUACACAUGCAAGUCGAACGGUAACGGGCCUCCGGGUGCCGACGAGUGGCGAACGGGUGAGUAAUACAUCGGAACGUGCCCGAUCGCGGGGGAUAACGAGGCGAAAGCUUUGCUAAUCCCGCAGACGCUCUACGGAUGAAAGGAGGGGACCGCGAGGCCUUGCGCGGACGGACCGGCCGAUGGCAGAUUAGGUAGGUGGAGGGAUACAAGCUUACCAAGCCGACGAUCUGUAGCUGGUCUGAGAGGAUGAUCAGCCACACUGGGACUGAGACACGGCCCAGACUCCUACGGGAGGCAGCAGUGGGGAAUUUUGGACAAUGGGCGCAAGCCUGAUCCAGCCAUGCCGCGUGCAGGAUGAAGGCCUUCGGGUUGUAAACUGCUUUUGUACGGAACGAAAAGCCUUCUUCUAAUACAGGAGGGUCAUGACGGUACCGUAAGAAUAAGCACCGGCUAACUACGUGCCAGCCGCCGCCGUAA
Molecule: ribosomal RNA, 498 nt
Filed under: uncultured bacterium
Lineage: Bacteria
Description: partial 16S ribosomal RNA
Rfam family: Bacterial small subunit ribosomal RNA
Source: RNAcentral